RNAcentral lists this transfer RNA (77 nucleotides) under Streptomyces venezuelae. RNAcentral's name for it is "tRNA-Thr". It matches the Rfam family "tRNA". From Rfam's summary of the family: Transfer RNA (tRNA) molecules are approximately 80 nucleotides in length. RNAcentral also lists the same sequence under 1 other name. Lineage: Bacteria; Bacillati; Actinomycetota; Actinomycetes; Kitasatosporales; Streptomycetaceae. The record is from RNAcentral.
GCCUCCUUAGCUCAGCUGGCCAGAGCACCGCUCUUGUAAAGCGGGGGUCGUCGGUUCGAACCCGACAGGGGGCUCAA